Molecule: transfer RNA, 89 nt
Filed under: Clostridia bacterium
Lineage: Bacteria; Bacillati; Bacillota; Clostridia
Description: tRNA-Ser
Rfam family: tRNA
About the family: Transfer RNA (tRNA) molecules are approximately 80 nucleotides in length.
Source: RNAcentral
GGAGGGAUAUCGAAGUGGUCAUAACGAGGCGGUCUUGAAAACCGUUUGUCCGCGAGGGCGCAAGAGUUCGAAUCUCUUUCCCUCCGCCA